CGGGCUGUAGCGCAGGGGCUAGCGCGGGUCGUUCGGGACGAUCAGGUCGGUGGUUCGAAUCCACUCAGCCCGA
RNAcentral lists this transfer RNA (73 nucleotides) under Spirochaeta sp. RNAcentral describes it as "tRNA-Pro". It matches the Rfam family "tRNA". From Rfam's summary of the family: Transfer RNA (tRNA) molecules are approximately 80 nucleotides in length. Their secondary structure includes four short double-helical elements and three loops (D, anti-codon, and T loops). Lineage: Bacteria; Pseudomonadati; Spirochaetota; Spirochaetia; Spirochaetales; Spirochaetaceae. The record is from RNAcentral. RNAcentral also lists the same sequence under 2 other names.